Molecule: long non-coding RNA, 265 nt
Organism: Anoplopoma fimbria (sablefish)
Lineage: Eukaryota; Metazoa; Chordata; Actinopteri; Perciformes; Anoplopomatidae
Exons: 2
Source: RefSeq, a predicted model, not a curated record
UCAUUAUUUUAUGACUGUUAUUGACUGUUGGUUAUUCAUUAUUUUAUGACUGUUAUUGAUUGUUGAUUGAUGUUUCAGGACCAAGACUCCCGGCCCCGGAGCUCAGUCUGCUCUCAGGGCUCUGGCUCGAUCUGGAAUGAAGAUCGGACGCAUCGAGGACGUCACUCCGAUCCCGUCAGACUCCACCAGGAGGAAGGGAGGUCGUCGUGGUCGCCGUUUGUAAAAACUGCAUCAAGAUUUUCUGACAAUAAAACGAUUAAAAUCA